AUUGAGCGCUGGCGGCAGGCCUAACACAUGCAAGUCGGACGGUAGCACAGGGGAGCUUGCUCCUCGGGUGACGAGUGGCGGACGGGUGAGUAAUGUCUGGGGAUCUGCCCGAUAGAGGGGGAUAACCACUGGAAACGGUGGCUAAUACCGCAUAAUGUCGCAAGACCAAAGAGGGGGACCUUCGGGCCUCUCACUAUCGGAUGAACCCAGAUGGGAUUAGCUAGUAGGCGGGGUAACGGCCCACCUAGGCGACGAUCCCUAGCUGGUCUGAGAGGAUGACCAGCCACACUGGAACUGAGACACGGUCCAGACUCCUACGGGAGGCAGCAGUGGGGAGUAUUGCACAAUGGGCGCAAGCCUGAUGCAGCCAUGCCGCGUGUAUGAAGAAGGCCUUCGGGUUGUAAAGUACUUUCAGCGGGGAGGAAGGCGAUGUGGUUAAUAACCGCGUCGAUUGACGUUACCCGCAGAAGAAGCACCGGCUAACUCCGUGCCAGCCGCCGCCGUAA
Molecule: ribosomal RNA, 506 nt
Filed under: uncultured bacterium
Lineage: Bacteria
Description: partial 16S ribosomal RNA
Rfam family: Bacterial small subunit ribosomal RNA
Source: RNAcentral